UGAGGUAGAGCUCAGUGGUAGAGCGUUUGCUUACCAUGCACGAGGUCCUUGGUUCAAUCCCCAGCGCCUCCA
RNAcentral lists this transfer RNA (72 nucleotides) under Camelus bactrianus (Bactrian camel). It matches the Rfam family "tRNA". Rfam says of the family: Transfer RNA (tRNA) molecules are approximately 80 nucleotides in length. Their secondary structure includes four short double-helical elements and three loops (D, anti-codon, and T loops). Lineage: Eukaryota; Metazoa; Chordata; Mammalia; Artiodactyla; Camelidae. The record is from Rfam by way of RNAcentral. RNAcentral also lists the same sequence under 3 other names.